AUUAAGAUGUCUGAAGUUUAGGUGGUAAAUUGUAAGUUUAUUUAUGAAAAAAAAAUUCUCUUAAUA
RNAcentral lists this transfer RNA (66 nucleotides) under Batracomorphus lineatus. RNAcentral describes it as "tRNA-Tyr". Lineage: Eukaryota; Metazoa; Arthropoda; Insecta; Hemiptera; Cicadellidae. The record is from RNAcentral.